GAUGAACGCUAGCGAUAGGCUUAACACAUGCAAGUCGAGGGGCAGCACAAGGUAGCUUGCUAUCUGGGUGGCGACCGGCGCACGGGUGCGUAACGCGUAUGCAACUUGCCCUAUACAGGAGGAUAACCCGUCGAAAGACGGACUAAUACUGCGUAUGCUCACAACUUGGCAUCAAGUGGUGAGGAAAGAAAUUCGGUAUAGGAUAGGCAUGCGUCCCGUUAGCUUGUUGGUGAGGUAACGGCUCACCAAGGCAACGAUGGGUAGGGGAACUGAGAGGUUUAUCCCCCACACUGGUACUGAGACACGGACCAGACUCCUACGGGAGGCAGCAGUGAGGAAUAUUGGUCAAUGGGCGCGAGCCUGAACCAGCCAAGUCGCGUGAAGGAUGACUGUCUUAUGGAUUGUAAACUUCUUUUAUACGGGAAUAACAAGAGUCACGUGUGACUCCCUGCAUGUACCGUAUGAAUAAGCAUCGGCUAACUCCGUG
Molecule: ribosomal RNA, 487 nt
Filed under: uncultured bacterium
Lineage: Bacteria
Description: partial 16S ribosomal RNA
Rfam family: Bacterial small subunit ribosomal RNA
Source: RNAcentral